This 74-nucleotide transfer RNA is filed under the name Caudoviricetes sp. Its description in RNAcentral is "tRNA-Pro". It matches the Rfam family "tRNA". Rfam says of the family: Transfer RNA (tRNA) molecules are approximately 80 nucleotides in length. Lineage: Duplodnaviria; Heunggongvirae; Uroviricota; Caudoviricetes. The record is from RNAcentral.
CGGCAUAUAGCGCAGUUUGGUAGCGCACCUGCCUUGGGAGCAGGAUGUCGCAGGUUCAAAUCCUGCUAUGCCGA